RNAcentral lists this transfer RNA (73 nucleotides) under Canis lupus familiaris (dog). It matches the Rfam family "tRNA". Rfam says of the family: Transfer RNA (tRNA) molecules are approximately 80 nucleotides in length. Their secondary structure includes four short double-helical elements and three loops (D, anti-codon, and T loops). RNAcentral also lists the same sequence under 1 other name. The record is from Rfam by way of RNAcentral. Lineage: Eukaryota; Metazoa; Chordata; Mammalia; Carnivora; Canidae.
GCCCAGCUGGCUCAGUCGGUAGAGUGGGCUGCUCUUUAUGUUGAGGUUGUGAGUUCAAGCCCCAUGCUGGGUA